GGUGGCAGGCUGCGCACGCGCGCCGCCUCAUUUCCGGUGCUCUCUCUCUCGCUGGGUCGCUCGGGUCGGCUUUGGUCGCUGUCGGUCCCGCUCUCCCACCCCCGCCAACUGCCGCUCGGGCCUCUGCCGCUGCCGCGUCGCUUCCUCGCUCUCUAGCUCACUCGAUCGUAUAUCUUCCCCGAUGCAGCGCCGGGACGACCCCGCCGCGCGCAUGAGCCGGUCCUCGGGCCGCAGCGGCUCCAUGGACCCCUCAGGUGCCCACCCCUCGGUGCGUCAGACGCCGUCUCGGCAGCCGCCGCUGCCUCACCGGUCCCGUGGAGGCGGAGGGGGGUCCCGAGGGGGCGCCCGGGCCUCGCCCGCCACGCAGCCGCCGCCGCUCCUGCCGCCCUCGGCCACGGGUCCCGACGCGACAGUGGGCGGUCCAGCUCCGACCCCGCUGCUGCCCCCGUCAGCCACAGCCUCGGUCAAAAUGGAGCCGGAGAACAAGUACCUGCCCGAACUCAUGGCGGAGAAAGACUCGCUGGACCCGUCCUUCACUCACGCCAUGCAGCUGCUGACCGCAGAAAUUGAGAAGAUUCAGAAGGGAGAUUCAAAAAAGGAUGAUGAAGAGAAUUACUUGGAUUUAUUUUCUCAUAAGAAUAUGAAGCUGAAAGAGCGAGUGCUGAUACCUGUCAAGCAGUAUCCCAAGUUCAAUUUUGUGGGGAAGAUUCUUGGACCACAAGGGAAUACAAUCAAAAGACUGCAGGAAGAGACUGGUGCAAAGAUCUCUGUGUUGGGAAAGGGCUCAAUGAGAGACAAAGCCAAGGAGGAGGAACUGCGCAAAGGUGGAGACCCCAAAUAUGCCCACUUGAAUAUGGAUCUACAUGUCUUCAUCGAAGUCUUUGGACCCCCAUGUGAGGCUUAUGCUCUUAUGGCCCAUGCCAUGGAAGAAGUAAAGAAGUUUUUAGUACCAGAUAUGAUGGAUGAUAUCUGCCAGGAACAAUUUCUAGAGCUGUCAUACUUGAAUGGAGUACCUGAGCCUUCUCGUGGACGUGGGGUACCAGUGAGAGGUCGAGGAGCUGCACCUCCCCCUCCACCUGUUCCUAGGGGCCGUGGUGUUGGACCACCUCGUGGGGCUUUGGUGCGUGGUACUCCAGUGAGAGGAGCCAUCACCAGAGGUGCCACCGUGACUCGAGGCGUGCCACCCCCACCUACUGUGAGAGGUGCUCCAACACCAAGAGCACGAACAGCAGGCAUCCAGAGAAUACCUUUGCCUCCACCCCCUGCACCAGAAACAUAUGAAGAAUAUGGAUAUGAUGAUACAUAUGCAGAACAGAGUUAUGAAGGCUACGAAGGCUAUUACAGCCAGAGCCAAGGGGAUUCAGAAUAUUAUGACUAUGGACACGGGGAGGUUCAAGAUUCUUAUGAAGCUUAUGGCCAGGACGACUGGAAUGGGACAAGGCCAUCGCUGAAGGCCCCUCCAGCUAGGCCAGUGAAGGGAGCAUACAGAGAGCACCCAUAUGGACGUUAUUAAAAACAAACAUGAGGGGAAAAUAUCAGUUAUGAGCAAAGUUGUUACUGAUUUCUUGUAUCUCCCAGGAUUCCUGUUGCUUUACCCACAACAGACAAGUACUAGAAAACUCCUGAGGCAUUUCCUGGAAUAGAAUGGGUAUUGAAGACCCAUGUCAGCCAUCAGAGGACUCCGGAAACAAGGAGAGCUACCUGCUACUGUAAAGUCUGGCCUGUGGGCAUUUGCUGAGCACAGAGAAACCCAGGAGAGGAGAUCAACAGUUUUGUUUCCCUACACCUCUUGAUUUUUGUGAUUUAGCCACAGAAAGCCAGUCAGGGUCCCUUAAGAGUUGUUAGGCCCAGAGUGGAGACCUCAGGGCUUUAGGGGACCUUGAUGCUAUCAGUUUAAACCUCAAGACUUAAAGAAUUGAAGGGGAGGAACAGUAUUAGAAUAAACUUUGGUAUUCCCAGUCUGCCUACUUCCCCUUAGCCUCCCACGGAACUGGCUGGAACACUCUACCACCAUCUAUCCCCCAUCACCACCAUCACCAAUUCUUACCCGUGUUGUGUGGGUCAGCCUGGGAACCCUUGGUCACUUCCAAAGGGCUCCCAGAGAGAAACUGGACAGUCAUCCCUCUGUAAAAGGCUGAGGAAAGCGAGGCGAGAAGGUUCAGUUACUUUGGGCAAGUUAUUUAACCUGUUUUUCUCUUCAUUGUUGAUUACUUACCUUGUCCAAAAAGCUGUCCAGGGUAGGGCUUCUCCUUCAUUUGUACUAUAUUCCUGCCAUAAGCAUAUGCCCCUGAGGAGCUCAAUAAAGGUUUGGUCAAGUGAUGAAUGUUCCCACUCUAGUAGCUUCUAUCAGCUUUGGAAGAGAAUCAAAGCCUCCCUGUCCAGCUCCCACUUUCUUUCCAGCUACGCUGGGCCAUGUUUUAACAUUUGUUCUAAUGUUUUUUGUUGAAGAAUUGGAAAGCCAGCCUUCAGUAGGCUUCUGGUUUCCUGUGGCCUGUUCUUAGGUUGAUUUAUACUAAGCUUUCACAGAGUUUAGGAACCUCUGAUAACGGCUCUCUUCCCUAACACCUUCUGGUUAAUUUUCCUAACAAAAGCACAAGGGGAAGAAGGGCUGAGUUUAAGGAGAGAUGAGAGUCUAUCUGGCAUUUUAACUUGCCUAGGGCAUUGUGAUGAGCCUGAAUUUAUUAUGUAUUAUCAGGAACAGAAGUACAAUAGAAAGGGACAUUAAAAUCUGUUAAUUUACGUUAGGCAAGCUAUUGAACCUCUGAGCCUGGUUAUUACAAAUAAUAACUAAUAAUUUAUUGUUUCUUAGUAUGUACCAAGCACUAUGUCAAUCAUUUAUAUGCACAAUUUCACUUAGUCCUCCAAUUCAUUAUACUGGUUUUACAGACAAGGAAACUGAGCUCAAGAAGGAUAUAAAACUUGCAUAAGGUUAGAAUCCUGCUAUUAGACUUUGUAGUCCACACUUAAGACUAAUUUGAACCUCUUAUAGCACUGUUGCUCUGAAACAGUAAA
Molecule: RNA transcript, 3012 nt
Organism: Otolemur garnettii (small-eared galago)
Lineage: Eukaryota; Metazoa; Chordata; Mammalia; Primates; Galagidae
Gene: KHDRBS1
Gene name: KH RNA binding domain containing, signal transduction associated 1
Exons: 11
Source: RefSeq, a predicted model, not a curated record